Long non-coding RNA from Ictalurus punctatus (channel catfish), 1241 nucleotides. Lineage: Eukaryota; Metazoa; Chordata; Actinopteri; Siluriformes; Ictaluridae. The record is from Ensembl.
CUAGCAUCGAAUGCUGAUUCUAACAAGUCUGAGGGGACAAAUAACCCUGAGGACUGAUUUGUGGGAAAAUGUGUUUGCUCUUGUAAAAUGCUUACUGUGUGCAUUUUCUUUUGCCUUCAAUGUGAAUCCAUGAAUGGAAUCAUUUCUAAAGCAUGCUUGAAGCAUUCCUGGAAUAUGUAGUGCAUGGGAAAGGGGGGUGGUCUGAGAUUCCUGGCACUUCCAGAGCCUUGGGCAUUGAAUCCAUUCGCAAUGGUUUGCCUUGCCUUUCUGUGUAAGGAUUAGUUCAUGGAGGGGGGGGAGAGAGAGAGAGAGAGAGAGAGAGAGAGAAAGAGAGAGAUGGGACGCACGGGCCAGUCAGGGCACUGGCUCAUCUGUGGCCCAGACAUCCAACUGUUUAUUGGACUGAGUGAUACCAGCAUCUUUAUGUGCCGUGUGAAAAGUCUAAACACGUGCUCUGGAAAGAUUGCCAUCUAGCAGAUUUUUGGGAUCCUGCCUCAGACUGGUACUGUACAUCACAACUUCAUCUGUCAGGUUGGCUUUGUGACAGUACACAUACUGUGUGCCAAAAACCUGGGUGUGGAACCCCCUCUCCCCCUGCACUCUUCAUGGCUAAGGCAACACCAGGGGAAUUAAUACAGUGUAGCAUGUCUUAUUUUGAGAGCUGGUGUGUGUGUGUGUGUGUGUGUGUGUGUGUGUGUGUGUGUGUGUGCAAAAGCCCUCAGCUGCAAGGCACUGCUGUGUUGUUAUUUCCACUUAAUAACAUUAUUUCGAGCUAUCGUCAUUAUGUACCCUUAAGAUCUUGUUCUAAUGACGUUAUACAUUUAACACAUUUGAUAUAAUCUUGUCUUUAUAAAGAGUUAUCUUUUUAUUUGGACAUUGACAUUUCAGAUUAAGAUCCCACUCGAUAACUCAUUAUUUAGUUCUCCUGUUAUUCCGACGACACUAUAUCAGAAUUUUGACUUACAUCACGCCCUAUUUAGAGCUAUCUUAUUUUGAUUUAUUUCAACUUAACAUCUCAACAUUUUGACUCAGUAACUCAUUAUUUCGAGUUAUCUCAUUAUUUCAACAUAUCUCCUUAUUUUGACUCACCAGCUCAUUAUUUUGCUGAAAUACAGUAACUCUUAAGUUAUUUUGAGUUAUCUUGUUAUUUCAUGCUAUUUUCAUUAUUCUGAUUUCAUAGCUCGUUAUUUUAUCUUGUUCUGGCAAAUUAUUAUCUCAUUAUUAUUAUCACAUAUUUUGAC